Molecule: ribosomal RNA, 1394 nt
Filed under: uncultured bacterium
Lineage: Bacteria
Description: bacterial SSU rRNA
Rfam family: Bacterial small subunit ribosomal RNA
Source: RNAcentral
CCUUAGAGUUUGAUCCUGGCUCAGGAUGAACGCUAGCGGGAGGCCUAACACAUGCAAGUCGAGCGGGAUUUCCCUUCGGGGAUUGAGAGCGGCGCACGGGUGAGUAACGCGUAUGCAACCUGCCCUUUACAGGGGAAUAGCCCGGAGAAAUCCGGAUUAAUGCCCCAUAGUACCAAGGAGCCGCAUGGUUUUUUGGUUAAAGCUCCGGCGGUAAAGGAUGGGCAUGCGUUCCAUUAGAUAGUCGGCGGGGUAACGGCCCACCGAGUCGAUGAUGGAUAGGGGUUCUGAGAGGAAGGUCCCCCACAUUGGAACUGCGACACGGUCCAAACUCCUACGGGAGGCAGCAGUGAGGAAUAUUGGUCAAUGGCCGGAAGGCUGAACCAGCCAAGUAGCGUGAAGGAUGACGGCCCUAUGGGUUGUAAACUUCUUUUUUAUGGGAAUAACGAUAGUCACGUGUGACUAUGUGCAUGUACCAUACGAAUAAGGAUCGGCUAACUCCGUGCCAGCAGCCGCGGUAAUACGGAGGAUCCGAGCGUUAUCCGGAUUUAUUGGGUUUAAAGGGAGCGUAGGCGGGAUAUCAAGUCAGCUGUGAAAUGUAGAUGCUCAACAUCUGCACUGCAGUUGAAACUGGUGUUCUUGAGUGCGUAAGAGGUAGGCGGAAUUCGUCGUGUAGCGGUGAAAUGCAUAGAUAUGACGAAGAACUCCGAUUGCGAAGGCAGCUUACUGGGCCGCAACUGACGCUGAAGCUCGAAGGUGCGGGUAUCAAACAGGAUUAGAUACCCUGGUAGUCCGCACAGUAAACGAUGGAUACUCGCUGUCGGCGAUAUACAGUCGGUAGCCAAGCGAAAGCAUUAAGUGUCCCACCUGGGGAGUACGCCGGCAACGGUGAAACUCAAAGGAAUUGACGGGGGCCCGCACAAGCGGAGGAACAUGUGGUUUAAUUCGAUGAUACGCGAGGAACCUUACCCGGGCUUGAAUUGCUGAUAACGGCAUUUGGAGACAGAUGCUUCCCUUCGGGGUAUCAGUGAAGGUGCUGCAUGGUUGUCGUCAGCUCGUGCCGUAAGGUGUCGGCUUAAGUGCCAUAACGAGCGCAACCCUUGCCGUUAGUUGCCAUCAGGUUAAGCUGGGCACUCUAGUGGGACUGCCAUCGUAAGAUGUGAGGAAGGUGGGGAUGACGUCAAAUCAGCACAGCCCUUAUGUCCGGGGCGACACACGUGUUACAAUGGUAGGUACAGCGGGAAGCUACCUGGCGACAGGAUGCAGAUCCCGAAACCCUAUCUCAGUUCGGACUGGAGUCUGGAACUCGACUCCAUGAAGCUGGAUUCGCUAGUAAUCGCGCAUCAGCCAUGGCGCGGUGAAUACGUUCCCGGGCCUUGCACACACCGCCCGUCAAG